GCUGGGUCAGAGGCUGAAGAUUUUCAGGAUGCAUCUCUAAUGGUUGAAGAAGUGGUGGAGGAUGACAUGGGAGAGAGUGCCUGAGGAUCCUUGCCUGGGACAAGUUAUGGAAAGAAAAAUCUUACAGCUUGGGCACUAGGAAAGGAGCUCUUUUAUGCCAUCUUGUCUGCCAGUCUAUUUGAAUCAAGAAAGACUCAUUGAAGACUCCUUUGAAAAGAAUGUUUUGAAGAAGGAAAAAGAAAUACUGUUGAGAGAAGGCAAACAUACCUAAAGGGUGAUAGAAGCAUAUACUUUUGUUGUGUAAUGACAACAGGACUUCAUAGAGUGAACAUGGAGAGCUGAGAAGGGAGAAAUUUCAGAAAGGACUGAAUUCUGUUGGUCUUGAUGAAAAAUGCUGGCCGUCUACUAAUGUGGAAAGACAGUUGAAGUUGAUGUUUAGUCCCAGGACUUUUUGUCUCUUCUGUGUACAGUUCUCAUAAACUGUUCUCAUGUUCAGAACCACCCCUUUGUCCUCUGUGAAUGAUGGCAGUUUUGCUUCUGUUAGCAGUGCUUCCAAGGAUGAAUGAAAAUAUCUAAUGUUUGCCAAAACCUAAAAAGUACAGUAUUUAUCAUUAGAGAUUUUGCAGGAUACCUCUCUUGUAUUUUAAAAUUCUGUAGUGCUUAAAACCAACCAUUGUAGGGUAAUUUUAAUCAAUAAAUACUAGAUUUUUCAAGAUGAAGUAUGAUGAUUCCUGAUCAUACUGUACAGUGCUCUCCAGUGUGAUAUCCAUGGACUGCUUGAUGAAACUGAAACUCUUUUUUGCACAUAGUAAUUAUGCUAUUUAUGGUGUGUCAUGAUUUCCUGUUUUCCUUGAGAUUUUAAUAGACCUUA
Molecule: long non-coding RNA, 871 nt
Organism: Neogale vison (American mink)
Lineage: Eukaryota; Metazoa; Chordata; Mammalia; Carnivora; Mustelidae
Exons: 3
Source: RefSeq, a predicted model, not a curated record